Molecule: unclassified non-coding RNA, 3959 nt
Filed under: Leishmania donovani
Lineage: Eukaryota; Euglenozoa; Kinetoplastea; Trypanosomatida; Trypanosomatidae
Description: gene:unknown
Source: RNAcentral
ACGCAACGGCGAGGGUCGAAGUUCACCUCGGCCGGCGCCGUUUUCUCCUUCACGGAUUUCAUCACCCACUCCUGCGAGCCUCACUUCACCAGCCUUCAUUCAUGUUUACAGACCCUCUUGUCAUUCUUUUCAUUACCGUGCACUCGAGCCACGAACGAAGAGCACCGCUCUCCCUCUUUCGCCGCCCUUUCUUCCCUUCCCUGCUCUCUCUCUCUAUCUAGCCCCUUCACCGUUCUCGUUGACCACGACGCUGAAACACUGUUUUAUCUCAAAAACCGGCUAUACCGUCGUUGCUGUUGCUCUCUUCUCUUUUCGUUGUUGUUUGUGCCUGCAAGCGGAUAGACUGAAACCUGUGCGUUUGGGUGCCGUUGGCAGCGACGCCGAUUACUUUUUGAACAAAUACAUCGUUCAGUGCACGGUUCGAUCUCCUCUAGCUCCCCAUCGCUGCCUAUCUCUGGUUCCCACGUUUUCGUUUUUUUUUUUUUGCUGCGUUUGCUUGGGUGCUUGUUACGAUUAUCUGCUUCAUCCUCGUCAGGCUCUCCUCUUCUUCCCUCCCGUAGCGGAAAGGAUUCGUGCAGCCUGCACUCCUCCCCAUCCCCUAAGGAAAUCUCGGAACUGCUUCUGCCACUCCAAGCUACUCUUUCUCUCUCUCUGUGCACACGGUGCGCCGUGCAUUCCGUGAGCUAAUCCUCACGCAGAUUGAUGGCAGUGAGCACAAAGUAAAACAAGAAGGAAGGGGCCUCUUGCAUUGCUCAAGCGGGCCAGAUCGAGGGGGUUCCGCCUUUUUCGUUAUUUUGUUUGGCAUUCCCUGCUCUCGCUUUUUCCUCUGUGGGCUGUGUCACGCGCAGGUGCACAUACAGAUAUAACACGCAGCCAGACGCACACAUCUAUAUAUUUCGUCAUAUUUCGCGACUCCGUUGUUUCACUCCAUUGACUCACCAACUUCUCCCGUUUCCGUGAAGAGCGUCCACCCUCCUGCCCUCCCCUCCCUCAUUCUUCUCCUCGGUGCCUCUGAGGGCAGCUCCGCUGAUCGACCUUUCUGGCUGUCUCCGUGUUGUUGUGUUGUUGGCUCAUUCUCGUGUUGUUUGCUUUUCCUUCACCUUUCUUUUUACUUGUUUGCUUGUUUGCCUUCGUGUUUUCUCCCCCGCUAUCCCUCUCCCCCAACUAUACACAUACACACAGAAACACAUCCUCCGCCUCUUCGGCCACCAUCUCCUUGCUCGAGUCUCUGCAGCCACUCGACUGCCAUUCUGCUCCACGCCGUCAAGGACAAGCACCGCAUCGAGGUAAGUGAAGAAGUGUGUGUGCAGUCGCCGCUGGGUCAUACUCACCUUCUUUCCGCUUGAAGGAAACAAAACAACAACACACAUCCGCGAAAGGUGCGCCGCGUAAACCGUUAUCUCGCUUCUGCUGCUGGUCGGCUUUCUUCGACUGAAAGGGUGAACGGUUGCAGCGCAUGUAUACUGCCUCGAAAAUGGAGUUUCCGUUGUACGAUGCUCACCUCACCAUCAGCGAAAGCGUCGAGGAGGGAAACGCCAUUCCGCCCCCUGACCUCGACAAGCCGCCUCUGUUCUUGGGCUACACCACGCUUGCACUAUCGCUGAUCUUCAUGGGGUGGUUUGCCUACAACGCGUGCGCUUGCUUGGAAGAGGAGACGAUGAAAUACCACCACGCCUCGCCUAUCCUUAGCUCACGCUGGCACCUUGUUCUCUGGACGGCCAUCUCACCGCAGAUCCUUUUCUUCUGCGCCUAUGGCAGCUGGGUGGGGUGGAAGUUCUUCAAGCACAACUAGGUGGGCCCGCUCGCCUCCAUCUUUGGCUGUUGUGAAGGCGAGGACACAGAUGAUGGAUGACCGAUGACUUCGAACGCCGUCUGCGUACCCGUGUGUGUUGAUACUCUACAGAGGUUCUCGUGCUGAUCUUGCUUCUUUACAUUCCUCGGCCUAUGUCUUGACCCCCCUAGAGGAAAAGCCUCUGUAUUUGUAUCAGGGUCCACGUGGGCUCACUCUCUCUCUGUGUGUGCGUGGGGGGGGGCGGGGGCAAGAGCCCCAGGCAGCCCAGCGAUCCCUGGCAAACGCUGAGCCACCUCUGGUGCUGGCAGGGUCACGUGCCUGGGACGUGGGGAGGUCAGGGCAAUGCAUCGCCGCUCAUGUCGGCAGUGAGGUCCGGGGGAUGGUGCUGCGCGGGAGCGCCCUGCGGCAGUGAGCACGCCUGCGCCAUCCAUAUGAUGAGCAGCGGGUCGACGUGACUCGAGCGUAUCCCACCCCACGGCCGUCACACCGCCUACUGGCAGGGCAAGCCCGAGCGACCCCGAGGGGGUGCCCCACAUGACGACCGGCAAAGCAGGAGCAGCUGUGAGGCAGCCGUGGUAGGCAGAGUAUGAGCCUGGGGCCACGCUCAGACCGCUCAGUGAACAUCGCUGCACCGCACAUGUGUAACGCUGCUUCGCACCACUCGAUGUGCCCCUGUGACCAGGGCAGGGGUGGUGGUGGUGGAGUGGAGUGGAGUGGGGUGGAUCGCAUGCUGCAUGGCGGUGAAUGGGCACGUUGAAAAAAAAAAGAAACGGUUUUGGCUUUGCCUCGCUGGAGCUCUUUUGGUGUUGUGUUCUUGCGGCCCACGACUGCUGAAGGAAAGCAGACGUGGGCCGCGACGAGACGUGGCUGUGUCUUCUGCUUUCGGCUCGUGGAUGAUGUAGCCUCGUAUAUGCGUAGAGGCAUCCUGGUCGUUUCUUGUUUGUUACUCGUGUCCCCUCUCCUCUUUGCAGCUAGCUUUCUUCUGCUUUUCUUCGCGUAGUUGUACUUUUAGCGGUGUCUGCGCACAUGUGCCUGGUGGUUGUGGGGAGGCGAUGCCACCGCUGUGCAGGCGCGCUCGUCUCUGCCUGCGUUGACUAUCUUUCUUUUGCUACGGCGUAGGAAUAAUAGUUUUUCUGCCUGCUUUCGGUCAGCUGCUACUGACCUCUUCACUUGUUUGCCUGCCUGUCUCUGUCGGCGAGUGUGUGUUCCCUGUUGUUGCUCGUGAUGCGUCGCGAUGUUCAACGCCGCCGCUCUGUGGCCACGGAGUCGUGCCUGCUCGUCCGUCAUCGCCACCGCAACUGCGACCGCUUCGCACUAGAACGAGGAGGAACACAGCACACGGCAAAGAGAGUUUGGGCUGCUAUUCGAAGUGGGACUAAGAUCGGCGUAUCAGACGGUGUGUUUCUUGUGCUGCAUUCCUCAUCUUUGUUGUCGCUUCCUUGCCUGCUUCUCGAAACCUGGCAGGGUGUGCUGCCGGCGCGAUGCCAAACUGCGAAGAUGAACACCGACACGCGUGUGACCUGUCAGGGGGGGGGGCACAUGGCACAAGGCACGCUUCACCUAUCAAGACGUUGGCCACGUCUCACGAAUCUCUUGCAACCCGUCAUAUUGGAAAAAAAAAUAAAAUAAGUAGGUAUUCAAACUGCAAGGGAAGCAGAAGCAAAAAGAACAAGGUGCCCUAUCGAGGUGGCUUCUCACUCCAACAGUCGAGACAAGUGUGAAGGCGGAGUGACGACCUGUAGCGUUUCACUUCUGCCCUCCUCCUCUCCCUCCCUUUGGUGGUGGCGAAUCUAGCGUGCUAAAGAGAGGCUUUCAAACCCUUCGUAGCGUGCGCACGUCGCAUGGACCCCGCAAGUAUGCCUCUUCGGCUUCCCGCUCUCAUCGCUGCUGCUGGCGCCUCUGGCGUACUAUCUCGAGGCGCACAUGCCGUUUCGCGGGUGCAAGCGCUGUUUCUGUUUUCUGCACUAACGUGAGCGCAUCAUCCUUGCCCCCGCCCCUCCGGCAACAACACCGCUGGACCGCUUUUUCUGCCGUCUGACGGCCAUCACACUCGUGUGAACGCUCAUCUUUCGCUCUGAAACCCUUUACACCGUCCCUCUUUUCCUCUUUCUACUAUUCUGUACGCUCGUGCUCAACACCGCUGUUUCGUUGUAGAGUCCUGUGCCAU